GACGAACGCUGGCGGCGUGCUUAACACAUGCAAGUCGAACGGUAAGGCCCUUCGGGGUACACGAGUGGCGAACGGGUGAGUAACACGUGGGUGAUCUGCCCUGCACUUCGGGAUAAGCCUGGGAAACUGGGUCUAAUACCGGAUAAGACCCUGGGAUGCAUGUCCUGGGGUGGAAAGCUUUUGCGGUGUGGGAUGGGCCCGCGGCCUAUCAGCUUGUGGGGGGGGUGAUGGCCUACCAAGGCGACGACGGGUAGCCGGCCUGAGAGGGUGACCGGCCACACUGUGACUGAGAUACGGCCCAGACUCCUACGGGAGGCAGCAGUGGGGAAUAUUGCACAAUGGGCGCAAGCCUGAUGCAGCGACGCCGCGUGAGGGAUGACGGCCUUCGGGUUGUAAACCUCUUUCAGCACCGACGAAGCGCAAGUGACGGUAGGUGCAGAAGAAGGACCGGCCAACUACGUGCCAGCCGCCGCGGUAA
This 478-nucleotide ribosomal RNA is filed under the name uncultured bacterium. Its description in RNAcentral is "partial 16S ribosomal RNA". It matches the Rfam family "Bacterial small subunit ribosomal RNA", at positions 28 to 523 of the family's 1533-position model. The record is from RNAcentral.